GGAAGUGGAACUGCUGGAUCAUAUAGCACAUCUAUUUUUAAUUUUGAGGAAAAUCUGUUUACUGUUCUCCAUAGUGGCUGAACCAGUUUACAAUCCCAACAACAGUGCACAAUAGUUCCUUUCCUCCACAUCCUCACCAACACCUGUUAGCUCUUGUCUUCUUAUGACAGCCGUUCGUACAGGCAUGAGGUGACAGCUCAUUGUGGAUUUGGUUUGCACUUCCCUGAUGAUUAGUGAUGCUUCUUGCAGGGCCUGUUCUACCCGAUGUGGCAAAAGUGGGCACCAACUCACGCUGCUUUGUUACUGCAGUGCGUGGCUGGAAGCUUGGGUCUACACUGGGCCACCCUAACACCAGGCCAGGACGGUUCUGUUGUAAACCAGUGACUUCCUUCUAACGGCUCAGACAGUCAUGAACAAACGCGACAUGAAAGGCCAGCACAAGAGCUCAGGUUUUUUCAUCUUAUGUCAGAAUUCUCGGUUGCAAGGAGUAGAAACCCAACUGAAACUAACUUUGGCCAAAGAAACAUACUCUAUUGAUUCAUACUACUGAAAAUCAUGAGGAUGUAUGAUUUCAAGUCAAGCUGGAUCCAGGAGCUCAAAUGAUGUCAUCAAACGUCUAUCUUUCUACAUCUCUGACUUCUGACUUCCUCUUUUGGAAUCAUUUCAGAGAUCUUUCCUUCACGUUGCACCAAAGAUGGCCAGCAACAAUU
Molecule: long non-coding RNA, 710 nt
Filed under: Equus caballus (horse)
Lineage: Eukaryota; Metazoa; Chordata; Mammalia; Perissodactyla; Equidae
Description: lncRNA (ENSECAG00000052482.1)
Source: RNAcentral